CAGUCGCCACGGGAAUACGAAGGGGGCUAGCGUUGUUCGGAUUUACUGGGCGUAAAGCGCACGUAGGCGGACUUUUAAGUCAGGGGUGAAAUCCCGGGGCUCAACCCCGGAACUGCCUUUGAUACUGGGAGUCUUGAGUUCGAGAGAGGUGAGUGGAAUUGCGAGUGUAGAGGUGAAAUUCGUAGAUAUUCGCAGGAACACCAGUGGCGAAGGCGGCUCACUGGCUCGAUACUGACGCUGAGGUGCGAAAGCAUGGGGAGCAAACAGGAUUAGAUACCCCGGUAGUCCCUGUCUCUUAUAC
This 301-nucleotide ribosomal RNA is filed under the name uncultured bacterium. RNAcentral describes it as "partial 16S ribosomal RNA". It matches the Rfam family "Bacterial small subunit ribosomal RNA", at positions 509 to 807 of the family's 1533-position model. The record is from RNAcentral.